This 122-nucleotide microRNA precursor is filed under the name Arabidopsis suecica. RNAcentral describes it as "MIR405". It matches the Rfam family "MIR405 microRNA precursor family". Lineage: Eukaryota; Viridiplantae; Streptophyta; Magnoliopsida; Brassicales; Brassicaceae. The record is from RNAcentral.
UUAACCCAUUUAACAACUCAACCCAUCAAAUUAAAUGAGUUAUGGGUUGACCCAACCCAUUUAACAAAAUGAGUUGGGUCAACACAUAACUCAUUUAACCCUAAACUCAUUUGAUUAUGAGU